CGGAUUUAGAGAAGAAGAAGAAGGAGGAACGUACUUAUAGUCGUCUGGUUUGGGCCAUAGGAUUGAGUUUCUAGUACAAGAUAACAUCAAAUAAAGAAUGUUUAGAAGAAGAUAAAAAAGGGAGAGAACUUUCCCAAGAACAGGAGCAGAGACGGAGAAGGUGGGCUUGGUAUACUCUAUAUACUAAAUCACAAGUCAGUCAACCAAUUCUAUUGUGACACAUGGAAAAUAUUUCUUUUAAUUCAAUAAAGUUAAUUAAUCAUCAACAUAAUAAUUAAAAUUUAAAUCGAUUACAAAAUCAAAUAACUGUAUAAAAUAACCAUCUCUAUAAGGAAUUCCACGUUCCCUAUUCUCAUGGCAUGAUUUCAAACUAAUUAUCCUUAGAAAAGAACAAAUAAUUAACUUUCUUUCUUUUUCUAUAUUCUCCGAAUUUCUCUGUUUUCAUCCUCUUUUGUAAUCUUUAUCUUAAUCUCCAAUUGUUUCGUUUUUUUUUUGGUUGAGUGUAGCAUCAAGACUCGACAUAGCUUUAUGCUUUCUUUUCUCAGUCAAAGUUAUCUUUCUCUACUUCUCAGAGUAAUACUACUAUUAUUUUUGUAUGAUUGUGUUUGGUUUGGUCGUUAAAAAAAAGGGUUUUAUUCUGUUUGAAGUGUUUCUUAUGGAUUCAGAGCCGGUCUUAGAAAGAAGUGUGCUAGAAGCAAAGACAUAAAAUUUUGGCUUAUUAAUUAUAAAUGAAAAAAGAUUGUAAAAACUAAUAGGGGACAGCUUUCGAACCUGACACCAUUUACUGUCUAUAGCUAUGCAUUAACCAACUUAGCUAAAACAACUUUAGUAAAAAUGUGGCCGAUUUUAUUCUUAUUAAUUGGCGGCCGGAAGUAUAUACUAGUGUUUGAGCAACAACACUGCACAAAUAUAUCUAAAAAUCAGACUACAGAAUACUAAAGGUAAAUAUUUAACACAUCUCUUUUUGUUUACAUGGAAAGUUCUAACCUUAUUGUUAAUUUUUUAAUGUUAUUAAGUUGGGUGAACUUUUCAGUUUAUCAUGGAUAUAUGACAAAGUAAAACUAACUAACCUUGCCAUUGAUAAACGUGAAGAUGGCAUAUUGUGAUGUUGUGUGUGACGAGAUUAAGGUAAUAUGGUAAAUAGAGGUAGUGUAGCUUAUUAUUGCUGUUAGUUUUUCUAGAUUUACUAUCCACAAUUUCUAGAAUUAUUUUCCCGUACAGACUCGAACACUAGUAUAUGUCUAAUUAGUAAAACAUCUGUAUUUCUUCAUUAUGAAUUAAUUACACAGACAAACACACUAUUAAUGAGUCUAUUUGCGAGUUUCGAAGGAUACGAUUAUGCUUUCUGUCUAGCAAACCAAAUAGGUAAAUAAUAGUAAGAUAAGUUUUAAGUUUAUCAUCCACAAAACAAACAGAAGGUUGCAUAGUAUUAUCACAUGAUUGAUAAACACCAAAGAGCUUCUAAUUAGUCUCUUGAGAGAGAAAUUCAUUACAUCAACAUCCGCUCCUUCUCAAAAGGA
This is a long non-coding RNA of Brassica rapa (field mustard), 1520 nucleotides long. RefSeq lists it as uncharacterized. The record is from RefSeq and is a predicted model, not a curated record. Lineage: Eukaryota; Viridiplantae; Streptophyta; Magnoliopsida; Brassicales; Brassicaceae.